Molecule: unclassified non-coding RNA, 248 nt
Filed under: uncultured Chaetomium
Lineage: Eukaryota; Fungi; Ascomycota; Sordariomycetes; Sordariales; Chaetomiaceae
Description: sequence contains ITS2
Rfam family: 5.8S ribosomal RNA (bases 1-52)
Source: RNAcentral
AACGCACAUUGCGCCCGCCAGUAUUCUGGCGGGCAUGCCUGUUCGAGCGUCAUUUCAACCAUCAAGCCCCCGGCUUGUGUUGGGGACCUGCGGCUGCCGCAGGCCCUGAAAAGCAGUGGCGGGCUCGCUGUCACACCGAGCGUAGUAGCAUACAUCUCGCUCUGGGCGUGCUGCGGGUUCCGGCCGUUAAACCACCUUCAUAACCCAAGGUUGACCUCGGAUCAGGUAGGAAGACCCGCUGAACUUAA